GAAAAAGCGCUCUUUUCCGGCUAUUAUCCAUCCCAAGAGGAUGACCAUUUUUCGUCACUGUAACUUGCAACCAGCACACUCUUGUUCAUAGCGUAUUUCACUGGAGACCCUCGCCCAUCAAUUGGCAUAAACUUAACUGAGAUGGGGCGUUGAAAAGUAGCAGCUACUUAGCCUAUCAUGGUCGCUGAUUCGUGAUGUUAAGGGAGAUGGCGUGAAGGUUACGCGGCUGCUCUCGGUAAAUGCUUAGUGAUAAAGGCUGAAUUAUGGGUAUUUGGGAAGGUUCAAAGCUUGCAUGGAAUAUAGGCAUUCGUCAGCUUCUUGUUGAAUGUGACAACAUGAGUGUGCUUACCAUCUUAAAUGGCAGAGGGGAUACUUCUCCCAGUCUUCAAUCCUUAGUGGUGCCCAUGAAAGAUCACAAGCUCAUAAGUUUAUUUUCCACUAAACUAAUGGACUUUCUUCUUUUAAAUAUUCUCUUUCGUUAUCUUGCAAACAUUACUUUUAAAAAAAUUGACAAUAACAGUUAUUUGGCGGAUCGUGAAUUUAUAGAAAAAGAUAAAAAGGAAUGAACAGAAAUGGUUGCCUGACUUGCACAAAUGAUAGUUUUAGCAAAAGAAUAGCCCCAGGAUCUAUAUUCUCCUGCAGCUAAAGAAUGUCGGUCAUGCAUAAACUCAUGGCAACAACGCAACAGAGCAUAAUUCCACAUAUCAUGAUUGUUCAAAUAUUGGCAUUUUGGCUUUGUUUCUCACGGUUUUCCUCCACAAUUUUCUGAAACUCUAUCUCACUAGUUGCAAUCAGACGUUUCACCAUGUCAAAGGCAGUAAGCCUAAUGCUGCUAUUUGGUAGGUUUUUUAAUGCAUUUGGCACGAAACCCCUAUAUAAGCCAAUAACUCCAUCGCUUUGAAUGAUUCCUUGAAGGGCAUCCAAAACUGUCUUGUAAGGCGUUCCCUUCAUUUGCAUUUGUCUUCUAAUUGUGUCCAAAGGAUAACACGUGAGCGUUGCAACACCAGCAGAUGCCACAGCUGUCAGCAAAGAUGACUGAGCUGUCUGUUGAUACUUCUCAGGCAAAGACUUCUUAACCAAGUCAAAAAUGCAAAAGUUCACAGCAAUAUAUGGAGCAAUGCCAAUAAGAGAAGGCCCGAGACCAUAAUAAAAUGCUGCAAUUCCUUCCUCACUUAACAUGCUUAAGGCAAUCUGGAUAAAUCAUUUAAACCCACCAUAGAAUAAACAGAGCAUCUAGUCAUACACAAAAUAAAAAAUUCAAGUGGUCAACCAUACCUCAGACAUAGUUCGAUGCCCUGGUUCAACUGCUAGGCGUAGUCUCAGAACAUCCAAAGGGUAUGUAACCUAGACAAAUAAAAGAGGGGGGGAAGCGAAAAGAAAGAAAGACAUCUAAGAUUCAAAUGCACACAUAGUCCAUGUAACAGUGCUAUGAAAAUGAGCUCGCAAAAGGAGGGGAAAUUUGAGAUGACUAUUCAUAAAGUAAAUUUUCAAAGCAGAACAGAAUUCACACAUUAUAUUGAUCAUUAACAAAUUAUUUUUGAGGUAAGUAAACUGAAGCCCAACAGGUAGCAAUUUCAAGAACAGAAUUUUGCAUGCCGGUUACUAACUUACGAAAGUGGAAGUCAUGCCUGCACAAGCACCUGCCGCAAGUCUUCCAACAACAGAGAGCUUACCAUCCUUUCCCACAAACAGUUUCUUGUAAGUUUCGUAAGCAAAGAGUUGGACAGCACUAUAAGGUAUGAUCCGAAUCACCUGAGGGAGGUUUCCUUUCCAGUACCCUUUUAUUCCUUCUUCUUUCCCUAUCAAUGUUAUGGCCUCAAUGAAACCAAUUGCCUUCUUAGCACUUUCUCGCCCAGCCCGCACACCAUGAGUCUGCAUAAGAAGCUUAAUACGGUCAAGUGGAGCCGUGGCAGUCUUGGCCGCAGUACCAGCGAUUGCGCCGGCAACAAAAAUCGCGGCGUCUCUUGGCACGUAACUGAGAACAGCCAACGGAUGCUUCAACAGCUGAGCCGAACUGGGAGCGAACUCAAACUUAUCUCCCUUUUCCGCCAUUGAAAUGGAGGCAAAAUUACCAAAACUUCCAACACCACCAUCGACACUGAAGCUGAGAUGCGCUCUCUUCCACAGCGGCUCAUGGUCCGUGGGCUCAGUGAGAGUACACAGUGAGGUUUUCAGGUUUGGUCUGCUUCGAAACGACAAGACGGCACUUUGUUCUGCCAUGGUUAGAUUGGAAUUUUUUUCUUAAGGGGUUAGGAUUAGAGGAAAGAUAAGGCAUUUACAGGUGCUUACUGGGAGGGAGAGAAGAACAACGAACCACCGAGGAGGACGAUCCGUUGUUUAUAUGCCUUAUGUACCUGUUUCGAUCCCCUGUGUGCUGAUCUAUAUAAGGAAAUUGAAGAUU
This 2401-nucleotide unclassified non-coding RNA is filed under the name Hevea brasiliensis (rubber tree). Lineage: Eukaryota; Viridiplantae; Streptophyta; Magnoliopsida; Malpighiales; Euphorbiaceae. The record is from RNAcentral.